UCAUUUCCCCUUUAUUUAAAAAAAAAGUUUGGAAGCCCAAUAGUUUUUCUCUCAAGCUUUCUCAUAUCCGGCCUUUGAGCUGCCAUGGGCCACCAUGGCGACCACCGGUCACUAGCGACUAUGGCCGCAGUCUAUAGUGGUUGGAAACCCCAAAAAAUGCCCUUUUGACUUCAUUUAAAUCGUUUUAAAACCCCUUUUUUAAAACCCUUUUAUCCCGAUUUAAAAAAUGACAAAAAUAAAUGGAAAUCUUUAAGAAACCUUUCGGUUUCUCCUCCGACAGCAUUAAUAUCUUUCAUUGGAGACAAUGACCUCGGCUUCGCAUAGCGAACGGCACAGGUGGUUAUGAAGUCAACGGAGGUGGGGCAGAGGGCGUGUGAGACGGCGUGCCUACCGACGUGGCAAGGCUACGGCGCGAAAAGGCUUAGGGUUUUCUUUUUUUGGUUUUUAUUAGAUAUGUUUAAGUUGUUGGGCCAACAGGCCACCUAGGGUUUUCUUUGUAUUUUGGGCUUGUACUUUUGUUAUUUGGGCUUGUAAUUUUGUUAAUAGACUGUUAUUUAUUAAGGUCCGGUCAAAUUUGGGCA
Gossypium arboreum is the source of this 581-nucleotide long non-coding RNA. RefSeq lists it as uncharacterized. The transcript has 2 exons. The record is from RefSeq and is a predicted model, not a curated record. Lineage: Eukaryota; Viridiplantae; Streptophyta; Magnoliopsida; Malvales; Malvaceae.